Molecule: long non-coding RNA, 2510 nt
Filed under: Citrus x clementina
Lineage: Eukaryota; Viridiplantae; Streptophyta; Magnoliopsida; Sapindales; Rutaceae
Description: Citrus clementina (C. clementina) long non-coding RNA (CCLE_LNC006044)
Source: RNAcentral
UUUUGGCCAUUUUUCCGCUUGGGGGUUUUGGCACCACGACCUUCGGGCGCUUAUUUUUGGGUGCGGCUGUGCCCGCGACUUCCCGCGGGCACCCCGAGGCCCCUCGCAAAGUCUCGCCCCAUUCCGAGUCUGGCGGACGAACUUCGCCCGCGCCCCCCACCAAGGCUAUAGCCCACCCGUUUUUUGGCCAUUUUUCCGCUGGGGGGUUUUGGCACCACGACCUUCGGACGCUUAUUUUUGGGCGCGGCUUUGCCCAUGGCUUAUUUUUGGCGCCCCGAGGCCCCUCGCAAAGUCUCGUCCCAUUCCGAGUCCGGCGGACGAACUUCGCCCGCGCCCCCCACCAAGGCUAUAGCCCACCCGUUUUUUGGCCAUUUUUCCGCUGGGGGGUUUUGGCACCACUACCUUCGGACGCUUAUUUUUGGGCGCGGCUGUGCCCUCGACUUCCCGCGGGCACCCCGAGGCCCCUCGCAAAGUCUCGCCUCAUUCCGAGUCCGGCGGACGAACUUCGCCCGCGCCCCCCACCAAGGCUAUAGCCCACCCGUUUUUUGGCCAUUUUUCCGCUGGGGGGUUUUGGCACCACGACCUUCGGGCACUUAUUUUUGGGUGCGGCUGUGCCCGCGACUUCCCGCCGGCACCCCGAGGACCCUCGCAAAGUCUCGCCACAUUCCGAGUCCGGCGGACGAACUUCGCCCGCGCCCCCCACCAAGGCUAUAGCCCACCCAUUUUUUGGCCAUUUUUCCGCUGGGGGGUUUUGGCACCACGACCUUCGGGCACUUAUUUUUGGGCGCGGCUUUGCCCGCGGCUUAUUUUGGCGCCCCGAGGCCCCUCGCAAAGUCUCGCCCCAUUCCGAGUCCGGCGGACGAACUUCGCCCGCGCCCCCCACCAAGGCUAUAGCCCACCCGUUUUUUGGCCAUUUUUCCGCUGGGGGGUUUUGGCACCACGACCUUCGGUUGCUUAUUUUUGGGCGCGGCUGUGCCCGCGACUUCCCGCGGGCACCCCGAGGCCCCUCGCAAAGUCUCGCCCCAUUCCGAGUCCGGCGGACGAACUUCGCCCGCGCCCCCCACCAAGGCUAUAGCCCACCCGUUUUUUGGCCAUUUUUCCGCUGGGGGGUUUUGGCACCACGACCUUCGGGCGCUUAUUUUUGGGCGCGGCUUUGCCCACGGCUUAUUUUUGGCGCCCCGAGGCCCCUCGCAAAGUCUCACCCCAUUCCGAGUCCGGCGGACGAACUUCGCCCGCGCCCCGCACCAAUGCUAUAGCCCACCCGUUUUUUGGCCAUUUUUCCGCUGGGGGGUUUUGGCACCACGACCUUCGGGCGCUUAUUUUUGGGCGCGGCUGUGCCCGCGACUUCCCGCGGGCACCCCGAGGCCCCUCGCAAAGUCUCGCCCCAUUCCCAGUCCGGCGGACGAACUUCGCCCGCGCCCCCCACCAAGGCUAUAGGCCACCCGUUUUUUUGCCAUUUUUCCACUGGGGGGUUUUGGCACCACGACCUUCGGGCGCUUAUUUUUGGGUGCGGCUGUUCCCGCAACUUCCCGCGGGCACCCCGCGGCCCCUCGCAAAGUCUCGCCCCAUUCCGAGUCCGGCGGACGAACUUCGCCCGCGCCCCCCACCAAGGCUAUAGCCCACCUCUUUUUUGGCCAUUUUUCCGCUGGGGGGUUUUGGCACCACGACCUUCGAGCACUUAUUUUUGGGCGCGGUUUUGCCCGCGACUUAUUUUUGGCGCCCCGAGGCCCCUCGCAAACUCUCGCCCCAUUCCGAGUCCGGUGGACGAACUUCGCCCGCGCCCCCCACCAAGGCUAUAGCCCACCCAUUUUUUGGCCAUUUUUCCGCUGGGGGGUUUUGGCACCACGACCUUCGGGCACUUAUUUUUGGGCGCGGCUUUGCCCGCGGCCUAUUUUUGGCGCCCCGAGGCCCCUCGCAAAGUCUCGCCCCAUUCCGAGUCCGGCGGACGAACUUCGCCCGCGCCCCCCACCAAGGCUAUAGCCCACCCGUUUUUUGGCCAUUUUUCCGCUGGGGGGUUUUGUCACCACGACCUUCGGGCACUUAUUUUUGGGCGCGGCUGUGUCCGCGACUUCCCGCGGGCACCCCGAGGCCCCUCACAAAGUCUCGCCCCAUUCCGAGUCCGGCGGACGAACUUCGCCCGCGCCCCCCACCAAGGCUAUAGCCCACCCGUUUUUUGGCCAUUUUUCCGCUGGGGGGUUUUGGCACCACGACCUUCGGGCGCUUAUUUUUGGGCGCGGCUGUGCCCUCUACUUCCCGCGGGCGCCCCGAGGCCACUCGCAAAAUCUCGCCCCAUUCCGAGUCCGGCGGACGAACUUCGCCCGCGCCCCCCACCAAGGCUAUAGCCCACCCGUUUUUUUGCCAUUUUUCCGCUGGGGGGUUUUGGCAUCACGACCUUCGGGCGCUUAUUUUUGGGCGCGGCUGUGCCCGCGACUUCCCGCGGGCACCCCGAGUCCCCUCGCAAAGUCUCGCCCCAUUCCGAGUCCGGCGGACGAACUUCGCCCGCGCCCCCC